This 216-nucleotide long non-coding RNA is filed under the name Hordeum vulgare. RNAcentral describes it as "long non-coding RNA (HVUL_LNC012524)". Lineage: Eukaryota; Viridiplantae; Streptophyta; Magnoliopsida; Poales; Poaceae. The record is from RNAcentral.
UUUAGGACUAUCGGGUACCGCGCUACUGAUACGGCGCUACAACUAACGUUUAUCAGGAGCAUGCUUUGGCCCGCAUUAGUGCUAUAUCUACUUAGCAGUAGCGUUGUCCAUACCAGCGCUACUCCUAAGUGGCUUCAGAGCAGUGUUUUCCUUUUCAGCGCUAAAGAGCGCUACUAAUAUAUUUUCACAUAUCUUUUCUUUGCUACGUAUUUGUGG